CCUACGGGAGGCUGCAGUGGGGAAUAUUGGACAAUGGGGGCAACCCUGAUCCAGCCAUGCCGCGUGUGUGAAGAAGGCCCUCGGGUUGUAAAGCACUUUCAGUGAGGAAGAACGCCUGGUGGUUAAUACCCAUCAGGAAAGACAUUACUCACAGAAGAAGCACCGGCUAACUCCGUGCCAGCAGCCGCGGUAAUACGGAGGGUGCGAGCGUUAAUCGGAAUUACUGGGCGUAAAGCGCGCGUAGGUGGCUUGAUAAGCCGGUUGUGAAAGCCCCGGGCUCAACCUGGGAACGGCAUCCGGGGCUGUCAAGCGAGAGGGCAGGAGCGGGAGGUAGACUUCCCGGGGUGGCGGGGAAAUCUGUAGAGACCGGGAGCGAUAGCAGUGGAGAAGGCGGCCUUCUAGAGUGACACGGACACUGGGGUGCGUAAGCGUGGGUAGCACCCAGGAUGAGAGACCCUAGUGGGC
Molecule: ribosomal RNA, 465 nt
Filed under: Vreelandella stevensii
Lineage: Bacteria; Pseudomonadati; Pseudomonadota; Gammaproteobacteria; Oceanospirillales; Halomonadaceae
Description: partial 16S ribosomal RNA
Rfam family: Bacterial small subunit ribosomal RNA
Source: RNAcentral